GAGUUUGAUCCUGGCUCAGAACGUACGCUGGCGGCACGCCUUAUACAUGCAAGUCGAACGAAGUAGCAAUACUUAGUGGCCGACGUGGUGAGUAACAUGUGGGUAUCUUCCCUUUGUGUGAGGAAUAACACGAGGAAACUUGCUGCUACAUACCUCACUAAGUCUUUACGGAGAAAGCUUUAUGCGCCAAUGGAUGAGCCCGCACUAUGACUUAGUUUGUUGGUGGGGUAACUGGCCUACCAAGACUUUGAUCAAUAGCUGAUUUGAGAGGAUGAUCAGCCACAUUGGGACUGAUACACGGCCCAAACUCCUACGGGAGGCAGCAGUAAGGAAUCUUGCACAAUGGAGGAAACUCUGAUGCAGCGAUGCCGCGUGAGUGAAGAAGGCCCUUGGGUUGUAAAGCUCUUUCGUCGGGGAAGAAAAUGACUGUACCCGAAUAAGAAGGUCCGGCUAACUUCGUGCCAGCAGCCGCGGUAAUACGAAGGGACCUAGCGUAGUACGGAAUUACUGGGCUUAAAGAGUUCGUAGGUGGUUGAAAAAGAUGGUGGUGAAAGCCCAGAGCUUAACUCUGGAACUGCCAUCAUAA
RNAcentral lists this ribosomal RNA (586 nucleotides) under uncultured bacterium. Its description in RNAcentral is "bacterial SSU rRNA". It matches the Rfam family "Bacterial small subunit ribosomal RNA", at positions 9 to 632 of the family's 1533-position model. The record is from RNAcentral.